GGUUGCGAUCAUACCAGCACUAACGCACCGGAUCCCAUCAGAACUUCGCAGUUAAGCGUGCUUGGGCGACAGUAGUACUAGGAUGGGUGACCCCCUGGGAAGUCCUCGUGUUGCAACCCC
This 120-nucleotide ribosomal RNA is filed under the name Helianthus annuus (common sunflower). The record is from RNAcentral. Lineage: Eukaryota; Viridiplantae; Streptophyta; Magnoliopsida; Asterales; Asteraceae.